Molecule: unclassified non-coding RNA, 377 nt
Filed under: Hevea brasiliensis (rubber tree)
Lineage: Eukaryota; Viridiplantae; Streptophyta; Magnoliopsida; Malpighiales; Euphorbiaceae
Source: RNAcentral
AAUCAGAGAUAGCAUUAAAGAAGAUUUCAACAGAGGAGGCAAAAAGAGCUCCAUUGAUUCAGGCUGAGAAGAACCAUGGAAAUACUCGCAGGCCAAGAACAAGAGAAGUUAGUUCUAGGUACAGGUCACCUACUCCAUCAGCUUCCUCUGGCCCUAGACGUUGUUCUUCUCCAAAUGUCACGAGAAUUGGAACUACUGCAUCAACACUUUCAUUACCUAAGAGAGCUAUAUCGGCUGAAAGGAGACGGCCAACGACUCCUUUAUCACCUACCAGUCCAUCACCAUCAACACCUGUACAGGAUACAUCUGCAGAAGAAUUGUUGUCCAGAAAGAUGACAGGCAAUAGGUUGGCAGAAUCUUUAUGGCCCUCAACAAUG